UUCCAUGAUGAACAAGAGCAAUUGCUCGAUAUAAUCCCAGCUCGUCGAACGGCCUCGUUUAAAUUCCAACGUUGAGGUCGUAUUGAGAUCAAGUCCCGCCUGAACCC
Molecule: small nucleolar RNA, 107 nt
Filed under: Rasamsonia emersonii CBS 393.64
Lineage: Eukaryota; Fungi; Ascomycota; Eurotiomycetes; Eurotiales; Trichocomaceae
Description: A. fumigatus snoRNA Afu_304
Rfam family: A. fumigatus snoRNA Afu_304
Source: Rfam by way of RNAcentral